CUCUAUUUUAAUUAAAUUAAAUCGUUCAUUGUUAAAAGCUUCUAGAAGUUUACUUUUUUCUGGCUUAAAGGGAUAAUACUAAGGUACAACUCUACUAGAGUCUCAUGAAAACUUCAGUGAUCAAAAGCUGCUCUCCUCCCUUUGAGAAACCCCUCUUUUAACCCUUACAAGAGGAAGAGGACAGAUUGUGGAAAUGGCCCAAACAUUUAGAAAAAAGAAAUAUCAGAGAAGGAUUCAGAGAUAUUUUUAAAAAUGACUGAGAGAUGCUGGAUUUGAUGAUGAAGAUAUUGGUCAUGUUGGAGAGAUUCGGUUUCAGUACAAUAAUAAGCAAAAAUAUUAUUCAGCUGAGGCUCUUUUAUGCAGGAGAAAGAACAAGGAAGGAGAGUUGCAUACUGGGAGCUAAGAUGAUGAGUAAAGGAUGCUCGACUCCCUCAAUCCCCCCCCACUCCCACACCCAAAAGGAAAUAAAUUACUUCAAAACAAAGGAAAACUGGAGGAUCCUGCCUUACUCAGAUGAGAAGACAUAUUUCAAAAAGCAAAGAACCCAGAUCUACAACCUAGAAUUACGCUCCCAACAAAACUGAGCAUAAUCUUGUAGAGGAAAAAAAUGACAUUCAAUUAGAUAGAGGAAUUUCAGAAAUUUCUGACAAAAACCAGAGCUAAAAAGAAAAUUUUAUGAGCAAUUUUGACAUUCAAUAAAAGUUAAAUUAAAACUUAAG
This 719-nucleotide long non-coding RNA is filed under the name Monodelphis domestica (gray short-tailed opossum). Its description in RNAcentral is "lncRNA (ENSMODG00000045436.1)". Lineage: Eukaryota; Metazoa; Chordata; Mammalia; Didelphimorphia; Didelphidae. The record is from RNAcentral.